Molecule: transfer RNA, 62 nt
Filed under: Neohermes californicus
Lineage: Eukaryota; Metazoa; Arthropoda; Insecta; Megaloptera; Corydalidae
Also listed under: 3 other names
Description: tRNA-Cys
Rfam family: tRNA
About the family: Transfer RNA (tRNA) molecules are approximately 80 nucleotides in length. Their secondary structure includes four short double-helical elements and three loops (D, anti-codon, and T loops).
Source: RNAcentral
AGUCUUAUAGUCAAAUAAUGAUAUUAGAUUGCAAAUCUAAAGGUAAAUAAUUUUUAAGGCUU